CCAUUUAAGCAUGCAGCAUUCGUGCCCAAAAGUCGGCUUCUUGACACAAUGGAAAUGGGGUCAGAAAUCAGAAUGCUAUGCUCAAAUGAAAAAAAUGUGAGCCAAGAGGGCACUUUCCGGUGCGAUCAGAAUGGCACGUGGGAGAGCAUUAAUCACGCAGUUCAAAAAUGUAGUAAGUUGUCUCGCAUUUUUUGAUGUAUCCAGGUCGACAAAUUUCACCUCAAUACUGAUAAGUUUUCCAAUGAUUGCUAUCAAUAUGUGGAACAAGCCAAAACAAAAGACCUUGCGGAGGGAUUCUGUAGAAACCAGACCUUUGGAGGUCACCUGGUUUUUCCAUUUACCGCCUCUUCAAAGUCGUUUGCUUGUGGACUUGUAUCGAAGGACGAAGCAGUAUGGGUUGGAGGUGAAUGGACGAACAUACAUACGAUUAACACGAGUCUGGGGAAUAUUUCAGCCAAAUCUGUGACUGGACUAAGCAGUUUUAAGGGCAGCGGAUGUCUAGCCUUAAACUGCAUGUCUCAAACGAUGACUGUUCAGAACUGCGGCAGGUCACUUCCGUUUAUGUGUGGAAUAGAGGCUGUGGAAACACCAUGACAUUCAGAAAAUAUAAAUGCUACAAUAUAAUGAAAUUUUAAUGAUAUUCAAUGUCCUAGAACAUUAAUCAAUUACGUAGAUAACUUGUAUCUUUUGCUGUUUUCAUAAAUUGUUGAAAACCUAAUAUUAUGUUUCAUGAAGACAAAUGUACAGCGCAUACA
Ostrea edulis (European flat oyster) is the source of this 755-nucleotide RNA transcript. It is a transcript of the gene named snaclec agglucetin subunit alpha-1-like, with no coding region annotated. Lineage: Eukaryota; Metazoa; Mollusca; Bivalvia; Ostreida; Ostreidae. The record is from RefSeq and is a predicted model, not a curated record. The transcript is spliced from 3 exons.